This 74-nucleotide transfer RNA is filed under the name Caudoviricetes sp. Its description in RNAcentral is "tRNA-OTHER". It matches the Rfam family "tRNA". From Rfam's summary of the family: Transfer RNA (tRNA) molecules are approximately 80 nucleotides in length. Their secondary structure includes four short double-helical elements and three loops (D, anti-codon, and T loops). Further hydrogen bonds mediate the characteristic L-shaped molecular structure. tRNAs have two regions of fundamental functional importance: the anti-codon, which is responsible for specific mRNA codon recognition, and the 3' end, to which the tRNAs corresponding amino acid is attached (by aminoacyl-tRNA synthetases). tRNAs cope with the degeneracy of the genetic code in two manners: having more than one tRNA (with a specific anti-codon) for a particular amino acid; and 'wobble' base-pairing, i.e. permitting non-standard base-pairing at the 3rd anti-codon position. Lineage: Duplodnaviria; Heunggongvirae; Uroviricota; Caudoviricetes. The record is from RNAcentral.
UGCGAGAUGGAGCAGUGGUUAGCUCGCUAGUCGGCGUCGGCUAGAGGUCGCAGGUUCGAAUCCUGCUCUCGCAA